Molecule: ribosomal RNA, 257 nt
Filed under: uncultured bacterium
Lineage: Bacteria
Description: partial 16S ribosomal RNA
Rfam family: Bacterial small subunit ribosomal RNA
Source: RNAcentral
UACGGGGGGAGCAAGCGUUGUUCGGAUUUACUGGGCGUAAAGGGCGCGUAGGCGGCCUCCGCAAGUCGACUGUGAAAUCUCCGGGCUUAACCCGGAACGGUCAGCCGAUACUGCGGGGCUAGAGUGCAGAAGGGGCAACUGGAAUUCUCGGUGGUAGCGGUGGAAAUGCGUAGAUAUCGAGAGGAACACCUGCGGCGAAGGCGGGUGCUGGGCUGACACGUGACGCUGGAUGCGCGAAGGCCAGGGGAGCAAACGGG